Molecule: transfer RNA, 72 nt
Filed under: Uromastyx benti (Yemeni spiny-tailed lizard)
Lineage: Eukaryota; Metazoa; Chordata; Lepidosauria; Squamata; Agamidae
Description: tRNA-Pro
Source: RNAcentral
CAAAAGGUAGUUUUAAUUUUGUAAAAUUCUGGCUUUGGGGGCUAGAGAUGAGGGUGGUCCCCUUCCUUUUGA